UACGUAGGGUGCAAGCGUUGUCCGGAAUUAUUGGGCGUAAAGAGCUCGUAGGCGGUCUGUCGCGUCGGCUGUGAAAACCCGGGGCUCAACCCCGGGCCUGCAGUCGAUACGGGCAGACUAGAGUGCGGUAGGGGAGACUGGAAUUCCUGGUGUAGCGGUGAAAUGCGCAGAUAUCAGGAGGAACACCGAUGGCGAAGGCAGGUCUCUGGGCAUUAACUGACGCUGAGGAGCGAAAGCAUGGGGAGCGAACAGG
RNAcentral lists this ribosomal RNA (253 nucleotides) under uncultured bacterium. RNAcentral describes it as "partial 16S ribosomal RNA". It matches the Rfam family "Bacterial small subunit ribosomal RNA", at positions 524 to 776 of the family's 1533-position model. The record is from RNAcentral.